RNAcentral lists this ribosomal RNA (449 nucleotides) under uncultured bacterium. Its description in RNAcentral is "partial 16S ribosomal RNA". It matches the Rfam family "Bacterial small subunit ribosomal RNA", at positions 338 to 795 of the family's 1533-position model. The record is from RNAcentral.
CCUACGGGUGGCUGCAGUGGGGAAUUUUGGACAAUGGGGGAAACCCUGAUCCAGCCAUGCCGCGUGAGUGAAGAAGGCCUUCGGGUUGUAAAGCUCUUUCGUACGGAACGAAAUUGCCUGGACUAAUACUCUGGGUAGAUGACGGUACUGUAAGAAGAAGCACCGGCUAACUACGUGCCAGCAGCCGCGGUAAUACGUAGGGUGCGAGCGUUAAUCGGAAUUACUGAGCGGAAAGCCUGCGCAAGCGGUUAAAUCCCCGGGCUUAACCUGGGAAUUGCGCUUGGGACUGGGCGGCUAGAGUACGGCAGAGGGAGGUGGAAUUCCACGUGUAGCAGUGAAAUGCGUAGAGAUGUGGAGGAACACCGAUGGCGAAGGCAGCCUCCUGGGCCAGUACUGACGCUCAUGCACGAAAGCGUGGGGAGCAAACAGGAUUAGAUACCCUAGUAGUC